RNAcentral lists this ribosomal RNA (643 nucleotides) under uncultured bacterium. RNAcentral's name for it is "bacterial SSU rRNA". It matches the Rfam family "Bacterial small subunit ribosomal RNA", at positions 232 to 885 of the family's 1533-position model. The record is from RNAcentral.
CGCGGCCUAUCAGCUUGUUGGUGGGGUAACGGCCUACCAAGGCAACGACGGGUAGCUGGUCUGAGAGGACGAUCAGCCACACUGGCACUGAGAUACGGCCCAGACUCCUACGGGAGGCAGCAGUAGGGAAUCUUGCGCAAUGAGCGAAAGCCUGACGCAGCAACGCCGCGUGGGGGAUGACGGCCUUCGGGUUGUAAACCUCUUUCAGCAGGGACGAAGCGUAAGUGACGGUACCUGCAGAAGAAGCACCGGCUAACUACGUGCCAGCAGCCGCGGUAAUACGUAGGGUGCGAGCGUUGUCCGGAAUUACUGGGCGUAAAGAGCUCGUAGGCGGUUUGUCACGUCGUCUGUGAAAUCCUAGGGCUUAACCCUGGACGUGCAGGCGAUACGGGCUGACUUGAGUACUACAGGGGAGACUGGAAUUUCUGGUGUAGCGGUGGAAUGCACAGAUAUCAGGAAGAACACCGAUGGCGAAGGCAGGUCUCUGGGUAGUAACUGACGCUGAGGAGCGAAAGCAUGGGUAGCGAACAGGAUUAGAUACCCUGGUAGUCCAUGCCGUAAACGGUGGGCGCUAGGUGUGGGGUUCCUUCCACGGGCUCCGCGCCGUAGCUAACGCAUUAAGCGCCCCGCCUGGGGAGUACGG